This 267-nucleotide ribosomal RNA is filed under the name uncultured soil bacterium. Its description in RNAcentral is "partial 16S ribosomal RNA". It matches the Rfam family "Bacterial small subunit ribosomal RNA", at positions 26 to 281 of the family's 1533-position model. The record is from RNAcentral.
AGAAUCAACGCUGGCGGCGUGCCUAACACAUGCAAGUCGAGCGCGAAAGGGGAGCAAUCCCCAAGUAGAGCGGCGAACGGGUGAGUAACGCGUGGGUAAUCUGCCUCCGAGUGGGGAACAACAUCGGGAAACUGGUGCUAAUACCGCAUAACAUCGUCGGGUUUUCGGAUCUGACGAUCAAAGCCGGGGACGCAAGGCCUGGCGCUUGGAGAGGAGCCCGCGUCCGAUUAGCUAGUUGGUGGGUAAUGGCCUACCAAGGCUUCGAUC